RNAcentral lists this microRNA precursor (82 nucleotides) under Bombyx mori (domestic silkworm). Its description in RNAcentral is "mir-2807 microRNA precursor family". It matches the Rfam family "mir-2807 microRNA precursor family". Lineage: Eukaryota; Metazoa; Arthropoda; Insecta; Lepidoptera; Bombycidae. The record is from Rfam by way of RNAcentral.
UAAAAAAAAUGUAUGGAGUUGAAACAGCGUCCCUACGUUUGCCGCUAGGGGCGCUGUUCUAACUCCAUACAAAAUUGAGUUA